This 1410-nucleotide ribosomal RNA is filed under the name Triticum aestivum (bread wheat). Its description in RNAcentral is "partial small subunit ribosomal RNA". Lineage: Eukaryota; Viridiplantae; Streptophyta; Magnoliopsida; Poales; Poaceae. The record is from RNAcentral.
CCCGUCCACCUUUGCUCUAGAUGAGACUCAUUUCCUCGCCCGCCUUUCCCCACCAAGUCAACGCAAGCGAGCUAACUAUUUUUUUCUUUUUUCAACGCAAGCGAGCUAGCUCGUCGCCCCUUUGUUCGGUACCUCUCGAGCGGCGGGUGUUAGUGGCAGGUCCACUUCAAGCGGCCGGCUUGGUAAGGCCACCUUCAGGGCUGUAGGCGGAGGUGGCGCCUCGACUUCGAGGAGGAGGUCGGCGAUUGGUUGCAAGAGGGGGCGCCGGUCUUUGAGUAGACGUUUCCUUUUCAAGAACGGCUGCGGCGCUCAGACUCGAGCUACGUCCACCCCCUGCCUAGGUUCCAGUACGAGUAGCGAAGCGUCCCAGAAGUAGUCCCCCUUCCGGGGUAGUGAUUCUUAUCGUCACCAGAACGUGGUUCACGUUUUUCUUGGAGUUUACAAUUCCUAUUAGUUUGUGAUUUUGGCCUCUAAUAGUCGUUUUCGGCUCGCCUCGCAACCUUUUAUUGCCCACAGUAACGAAAUAGACCAAGGUCGAACUUCCGUCACGGACUCCUUCAGACCCUGACACCGAGGAGGUAUGCUCAUGAUCUACAGACAUUGUUGAGUUAACUUCGUUAAGGUGUCUUUUAACGACGGGAAUUUAGUAAUUUAUUUAACAACGAUUGGCGGUUACUGUAUAGACUACCCCCGUAGUCGACCCUUCCAGAUAGUACACAACUAUGUAAUUGUCAAAAUAGAAAUUCGGUUUUAGCUAACCAGUGAAAUGGAGGCUCAAACCCGUGUAACUGAAAAGAUGCACUUGAAACGUAACGUUUAUUGUACGAACCGUCGGAUGGACAACUUUAUCCAAACGACUUCGUCGAUCUCUAAGAAUAUCGUUUAUUGUUAUCCUAUUGAAGCGACGGAAGGAGAUAUCCGCUGACACUUAGAGAGAAACUCCACCUGAAUAGUAGUUUAGAAAAUCGGCUUGAUGGUUUCCGAACGCCUUUGGAAGUGUUAGACUUCACGACCGCCGAAUGAUGUGAACUAGAGGUACCGUGACCUUAGUGUUUACUGUAAGAAGCUGUCUACCUCCCGACCCUCCUCAAACUACUUGCAUCCGCCGUCUUCAUAGUUUUCGUCGACCUAAAAGCACAUCCUAGUAGUCCACAAAAGCUGCUCCCACGCCUACUACUAUUGGCCGUACGUAUUCACAGAAAGAAUAAUGUCUGUCCCAAAACGCGAAGGUUAUAACUGGGUCUUAAUAAGAUAUUAACUUGAACUUGUCUGUACCUCGACUAUAAUAAGGAGUGUAAACCCAACACAUAAACAAAUAAGGAGAGUAAAGUAAUGUAAAAUUAUGGUUCACUACUUUUCACCACCGAUGGACAAUUUGUAAUAGUCUCAUAAACGUAGGGGUCGUAAGUA